Orbicella faveolata is the source of this 2437-nucleotide long non-coding RNA. The record is from RefSeq and is a predicted model, not a curated record. Lineage: Eukaryota; Metazoa; Cnidaria; Anthozoa; Scleractinia; Merulinidae.
GACAACUUGUGAUUGGUCAAUUGCGAAUUUGGUUUUGGUAAAUCUGUCAACACUGAUGUGUUCGUCUCAUAAUUACCUUGUAGCUGGAGUUACGGCAUUGUCUUGUAUGAGAUUUUCACUUUAGGUGGAAGACCUUACGAUAGAAUGACUGGAGAAGAAGUUUAUAACUUCGUGGCAAGUGGUCACAGAUUACCAAGGACUCCAGCCACGAGCUCGGAAUUGUAUAAUCUUAUGCUGCGGUGUUGGCACGAGGAACCAUCCAAGAGACCAGCAUUUGGCUCGAUCGCGUCUUGGACGGAAACUGUUGCGCAGGACUACUGACACCACGGAAAAGACUACUUUGUGCCACGAAGUUAUGUGGAUUUUGAACUGUAGUUCACAAGAUGGGACUUGUCCCCGCGACUUGUUGCAGGGACUAGUCGCAGGGACUAAUCCCCUCGUGUGUGCUGACCGUAACACUGUUGUGUAGUAAAACCACACGAGAAAUGAUGUGACUGAACUGUUAUAGCAUAUCUUAGCUUUCGUUGCCAAGCAACGUAUAGGACGUAUGUUUAAGCUUCAUUUUAAAUGAGCGACAAAUGAUAUUUUUUUUUAUAAAAGGACGUAGGAAUUUCGAACGCUGUUUUUUUUUAUAGCUUUUUCUUAUGUACAACGUUUAGCUGAAUUUCAACUGGAAUGUCUCGGUAAAAGUGAAAAUCUUUUUGAAUGUCCACCAGUUUAAGUAGAACGAAUUCUGUUAAUUCUUCUCUUUUAUUUUUUACAGUAAUUUUACUGCAAGAAUAAUAAAACUCUUGGUUCAAAAGACAACUUGUCGUUGCUUAUUGAAGGGGGCGUUGGGAUUUUUGGUUUCGCGAAUGUGGCUAAUUUUUGGUUCGGUUUUUCGGUUUUGGCCGGUGUCUUGUGCGGUUUGCGAGUUUUCUCCAAUUUGGUCUUUGGUUUUCGGUUUUUGUCAACAAUGAUGGCGGUUUUUCGGAUUUUUCUGCCCAAUGCAUUUUACGGUUUUUCUGCUUUUGCCAAGGAAGUUACAACCCGCAGUCGCGCUAAAACUGUAUUCCAAGGGACCACUUACAGUUAGAGAAAUGCAUGAAAAGCCUAUUCUCUUUAACAGCCGUUAUUUGGGUCGUAACGACUGCCGAGCAGACUAUGAAAAGCUAAAGAUAACAUCAGAGCAAAAGACUUUUUUUCAAAUGUCACGCGGCUGGGAUAAUAUCUUGGGGACUUUGACCUUAGACUACGGACCAUCGAGUUUCUAUGGCUCAAUUGCGAGUUGUCUCCCGGUUUCUUCGCGAGAAUAACAUUGCGCUCACUCGCUCUGUUCACGUGGAAUAAGAGCAAUGGAGAAACUGUUUGGUCGUAAAAUAAAGUAGUUUGGUUUUAAAAUGGGGCGCCAUUGCGCCUACACUAUUGAAAAUCCUGACAACGGCAAUCAAAAAAAAAAAACUUCAGAAUGUGGUGUUUCUUUUAAACAAAAAUCAACUAAAAUCAUUUUAUCGUGCAAUUUGUUUCUAGUUUCACAUUGCUAUAGGUCUGUGGAGCCGAUUUAUACAAAAAAGGAGCUUUUUAGACUACGAUGUGUUCUGUACUAACGAGGGAAUACGCAAAAAGAACUUCGGAAAGUAAAACAAGUUUAGACGUAUAAAAAUUAAAUAACAGAAAGAGAGAUUCUGAAGACUGCCAAAGUUUUGUUAGUGAGGGCUUUUAUUUCGGUUUUCGGUUUUGGACGAAAUUUCUUGCGGUUUUGCGGUUUUCGGCGAUUUUUUGCGCGGUUUUUCGGUUUCUAAUAGGCCCCUACGUCCCAUCUUCUUAUUAGCUAUUAGUUGGUUUAAGCGAUUUCUUCUGCUGCUUUAUGGCCUGUGUUUGUGCAUUCUCGCAUUUCCCGUGCUUUACAGAUUCGCCGUUCGCGCCUGGCCUGUCAGUGACCCAAACUUGAGACCAUUCAUUGGUCUAUCCUCGCACAAUCACAAGCCUUCAUCCUGUACAUUUUAAGCGAGUUUUUAUUCAUAUUAACGUGAAGUAUACUUCAGUUUUCUUUCUCUUAUUACAUCCGGACAAUAUGUAUCGUAUAAAAAUGAAUGUCAUGAUCAAUUAAUCAACUAGACUUAAAUGCCAGGCAUUUACAGAGUUCCUUGCUUUGGGAACGAGACCGUAGUUUUUGCAAAUUAUGAACAAUGAAAGACAACUGCGCAACUUGAAAGAUGAGGUAUGAUCGGCUCGUCCUCUUCAUCUGACAGCUCACAGGGUACUAUCAGUUCAUUUUCAACUCCUACGCUAGCUUUGCUGCAGGAGGCAUCCUUAUUCACGGUAUCAGCCAUUGCCUCGUCAGUUUGAAAUACCUGAUUCUCGAGCCAAGCAAAGAAGAAGAAAUGAAAUGAGAGAUUCUAUAAUUCCAACUCCACCAGCCAUGAGAAACGCAGCAAUGUAGUUACGAACCUGUCAG